Molecule: long non-coding RNA, 894 nt
Filed under: Rattus norvegicus (Norway rat)
Lineage: Eukaryota; Metazoa; Chordata; Mammalia; Rodentia; Muridae
Description: long non-coding RNA NONRATT019472
Source: RNAcentral
GUGGGGCCUUCCAAAGCCGAGUCUGGCCAGGAGCCGGCGUCUCGCAGCCAGGGUCAGGGCCAGGGCCCCGGCACAGGCAGCGGAGACACCUACCGGCCCAAGAGGCCUACCACGCUCAACCUUUUCCCGCAGGUGCCGCGGUCUCAGGUAAGACGCAAGCAACCCUGUGCUGAGAGAGGGGGCGGCGCCCUGCGUGGACAGGGAAGACGGAGGGGCGCGGGGCUGUUGGUGACGCCGGGUACCUAGGCGCGCCAUGCCUGGGGUGGGACAGGUUUUCUGCUGGGAGGGAUAGAGGAAGGACUUGACAAGGAACAGGAAAGUCUGUCCUGGGAAGGACUGAAUCCAACUGUCUGGGUAUGGAGCCUGCACUGCUAGGGAUUUGAGUGGGGAGAGUUGCAGAGGACUAACAAAGGAGUUGAGGUCCUGCAGUUAGGUCCUCUUCGGGUUAGUGCUUCUGUGAAGGUUGAGGCAGCAGCAAGGCCUGGAGAAAAGAGCCUCCGAAAUGGGAUGAAGGUGGGGAUGGGAAUUCUGGGUCUGUCUCCAGUUGGACAUCUCAGCAGCUGGACAUUCCAGAAGGCAGCAAUAGAGUUGGGGUGGGGGUGGAGUUGCUUGGCUGAGUUGGGGGCCUAGGGCCCCUUGCUGGUGGCUGGAUGCCAAAGAGGGCUCCGUCGACCCAUUGUCUUGUAGGCCUAGGCAGGAGAGAUACUGGGAGGGAAGGCGCUGAGGAGGUAGGGCUGCUAAUGGAUGGUGCAGGGGCUGCAAGGAAGGGGUUGGUCCCUUUCCCAGUAUCCUCUUGGCAUGGCUUCUGGCAGCCCAGCUCAUCAAUGGUGUGUGUUGCUUAUGGCAUUUCCUGGGGAGGGAGCCCAAGUUGUGUGUGGAGAGCCUUGUGCAUGG